AACGAACGCUGGCGGCAGGCUUAACACAUGCAAGUCGAACGCAUCCUUCGGGGUGAGUGGCAGACGGGUGAGUAACGCGUGGGAACGUGCCCUUCAGUUCGGGAUAACCCAGGGAAACUUGGGCUAAUACCGGAUACGUGCGAGAGCAGAAAGAUUGAUCGCUGAAGGAUCGGCCCGCGUCUGAUUAGCUAGUUGGGGGGGUAAUGGCCCACCAAGGUGACGAUCAGUAGCUGGUCUGAGAGGAUGAUCAGCCACAUUGGGACUGGAACACGGCCCCAACUCCGACGGGAGGCAGCAGUGGGGAAUAUUGGACAAUGGGCGCAAGCCUGAUCCAGCCAUGCCGCGUGAGUGAUGAAGGCCUUAGGGUUGUAAAGCUCUUUCGUCCGGGACGAUAAUGACGGUACCGGAAGAAGAAGCCCCGGCUAACUUCGUGCCAGCCGCCGCCGUAA
RNAcentral lists this ribosomal RNA (449 nucleotides) under uncultured bacterium. Its description in RNAcentral is "partial 16S ribosomal RNA". It matches the Rfam family "Bacterial small subunit ribosomal RNA", at positions 29 to 523 of the family's 1533-position model. The record is from RNAcentral.